RNAcentral lists this non-coding RNA (25 nucleotides) under Rattus norvegicus (Norway rat). The record is from RNAcentral. Lineage: Eukaryota; Metazoa; Chordata; Mammalia; Rodentia; Muridae.
UGCAAGUUACCCUCCAGGGUUGGGC